GUGAUGCUGUGGUAUCACUUGAUUUUUUAUUAUCACAUUUCACAGUCUCUGCUUUGAGUAUUCAGUGGAAGUGAACAAUGAACAAAUAGGUCCUACAGUACAAAGCUAUAAGAUCAGACUUUAAAUCACUACUUGUGGCCGUGUUAAAGGUAAUUAUAUAGUGAGGAUAAUUGUUAUAAUACUGUAAUGGUAUGUAAUUAGGAGUUUUCCAAGCAUAAGCUCUUGUGAGUUUUCAUUACCUUGUUAGUUUUUCAUUAAUGGAGGAGUAUUUUGUCCACUCAGUGCCGUACAUGAAAUAUGUUACUGGACUUCCAACAUUACUUGAUGCCCCAAAUACUUGUGUUUACAAAUCUAAGGUAAUUGGAUUAGUAAUAGUAAAAACUAUAUUUCAGAUAAUCAAAAUUUGGAUGGAAAGAAAAUUUUUGAUGUUGGAGAAGACCUUGUGGCUACAGAAGAAGAGGUUAACAUUAUUGACCCUAUAACAAAAACUCGAAUGACAGAACCUGUGCGGAAUAAAAUUUGUGGACAUGUGUAUGAAAAAUCCAGUGUGCUUCAAAUGAUUAGACAAAAAAAGCGUAAGGGUUUUAGAUGUCCUGCAAUGGCAUGUGCAAACCGUUCCCUUAUAAAUCCCCAAGAUUUAAUAGAUGCUCCUGAUGUUUUACGGGCAAUUCGCCAACAGGAAUCAGUCCACACAUGAAAUAGUUUUAACAGUUUUGAGUUGCCUACAAAAUGAGGUAGUUUAUCAUUUCAAAACUUUUCAAAUGUUAAUUUCAAAUUAUCAUUUCUUAGAGUUAAUCCCACUUGUAUAGUAGUUGUGGGGUAUUUGAAAAUGUGAAUGUCUUUGCAUUAUGAACCUGUAUGUUGACCACUUAUCAAUAGAUUCAGCCAAGUUUUCAUGGAGUAAUUGUAACAUUAGUGUAAUGACUGAAAAUGUGUCAGAGUAGGUGCAUGAAGUAACAGGUUGCUUAAUGUCAAGUAAAAAAUAACUUAAAUUAAACAUGUUAAUGUUAAGGUAAAGAAAACAGAUUGUACAGGAUGUAAUUAUCCUAGGAGUCAGCGGAUUAAUUUUUUAUAACCAUCGUUAUGUAGCACUUUAAGGCAAGCAGCUGCUCUUUUUACAAGUCUGACCAGAGGGUAUUGUAUACAGUGGCAGAUUAUACUAUGGUAUUCUUUCAUAUAAAAACUUUUUACCCUUGGAAUAAUCAAACUCUAUCCAGGAAAUGUAAAUUUUGUAUGCUUACUGAUGCAAAAUCUCAUUUAUCUGGAUCAUGUUUGUUCAGGUAUGUGGAUAAUCCGUGGAAGUUUUAGAUUAACAACAGGCUCUGUUAGAGAUUUCUUGAAGGAUGAAUUUGUUAUGUUACACUUUUACAAAUGCAUUUAAAAAAUUUUCCAUUGGCAAUGACUUGUUUUGGUAAAAAUUUGACAUAUAUUAAUCUACGAAAUUUGGCAGCUUAGACUAGCAAUUUUUCGUCAACCUACCGAAUAAUUAAAUUUGGACAGGUACUCCUCUUAUUAGUCUAGAUAAGUGAAGCUUUUUACUGUAUCAUGCAACUUUUCUUCAUUUCUUAUUGACUUGUAGAAUUAAUUUUCUUUACUCAUGGUACUUAUAGAGAAAAAAUUACAAAUUUUUUAAGUA
Macrobrachium nipponense is the source of this 1636-nucleotide long non-coding RNA. RefSeq lists it as uncharacterized. Lineage: Eukaryota; Metazoa; Arthropoda; Malacostraca; Decapoda; Palaemonidae. The record is from RefSeq and is a predicted model, not a curated record. The transcript is spliced from 2 exons.